Molecule: ribosomal RNA, 497 nt
Filed under: uncultured bacterium
Lineage: Bacteria
Description: partial 16S ribosomal RNA
Rfam family: Bacterial small subunit ribosomal RNA
Source: RNAcentral
GAUGAACGCUGGCGGCGUGCCUAAUACAUGCAAGUCGAGCGAACAGACGAGGAGCUUGCUCCUCUGAUGUUAGCGGCGGACGGGUGAGUAACACGUGGAUAACCUACCUAUAAGACUGGGAUAACUUCGGGAAACCGGAGCUAAUACCGGAUAACAUGUUGAACCGCAUGGUUCAACAGUGAAAGACGGUUUUGCUGUCACUUAUAGAUGGAUCCGCGCCGCAUUAGCUAGUUGGUAAGGUAACGGCUUACCAAGGCAACGAUGCGUAGCCGACCUGAGAGGGGGACGGCCACCCCGGGAACGGGCCCCCGGCCAGGCCCCCGCGGGGGGGCGGAAGUGGGGAUUUUCCCACAAGGGGCGAAGGCCGGAGGGGCCACCGCCGGGUGGUGAAAAAGGUUUUUGGGAUCUUAAACCUCUUUUAUUGGGAAAAAAAAAAUGUGAAAGAAACUAUCCCCGUCUGGACGUUCCCUAAUCAGAAGCCCACGCCUACCUACGUC